GACGUAGGGCGCGAGCGUUGUCCGGAUUUAUUGGGCGUAAAGAGCUCGUAGGCGGUCUGUCGCGUCUGCUGUGAAAACUCGGGGCUUAACCCCGGGCCUGCAGUGGGUACGGGCAGACUAGAGUGCGGUAGGGGAGACUGGAAUUCCUGGUGUAGCGGUGAAAUGCGCAGAUAUCAGGAGGAACACCGGUGGCGAAGGCGGGUCUCUGGGCCGUAACUGACGCUGAGGAGCGAAAGCGUGGGGAGCGAACAGG
Molecule: ribosomal RNA, 253 nt
Filed under: uncultured bacterium
Lineage: Bacteria
Description: partial 16S ribosomal RNA
Rfam family: Bacterial small subunit ribosomal RNA
Source: RNAcentral